Molecule: non-coding RNA, 1147 nt
Organism: Nicotiana tabacum (common tobacco)
Lineage: Eukaryota; Viridiplantae; Streptophyta; Magnoliopsida; Solanales; Solanaceae
Source: RefSeq, a predicted model, not a curated record
GUUGCCUGUAAAUUCUUUUCCAUCGGUGGAGAUGUACAGAAUCCAGUAAAAGUCAAUGUAUUCUUCUGAAAAUGCAUUUCAGUUGACAAGGUUGACAUCUCUGUACUUCACUUUGGAGCAAUGUAUAAAUCUGCCGAUGUUGGCACAAAUUGGUGAAUCCAACUGUUAAUUUGUAAUCUUCCUAAAGCCCUCUUCCUUUUUAUGUGAAUCAAUUUAACCCCCUAAUCUUCUGUAUGAAUCAUUGGUUUCCUCAUUGUAUCUGGCUCUCUGGUACUUUUUUGAAUAUCAGAGAAGGUUGUAAAUGAUCCAAAUGUCUAACUCUCGUACCUUGAAGUUGUUCUAGACGUAUGUUGAUGACGUGCUUUGCUGAUAAUUAUUAUCAAUGACCAGAGUUCUAAAGAUAUUAUCUUUGCAGGGUUUGUAUGAGGUAACUUGUGGUGAUUGCAAACAUAAAUCAUGUCCAUGGAUCUUUCUCUGCCUGUUCGGUGCACUAUUAUGAUAUUAUCUGGUAAACUGGAAUUGUUAGGGGCUCACUGAGGAAAACACGGCACCUAGUGAUCGGAAAAGGAAGCAGCAUAUUCCAUCAGGAAAGCAGUUAAUAAUGGCUACAGGAUUACCACAAUUGUCAUCCAAGAAGCUCCAGAAUAUUGGCGAAUCUCGUCCCUAGGUCCCAAGGUGGCACAUAUCUGUGGCAACAAGAUCAUCUCUGAAGAGAAUAACUUGUGCAAAUAGGAUGUCAUUGCUUUUUUGGGUGCAGUAUUGAAUGGUGUUGACUUUGAUAUGAUUUGGGAACACUGCUUUUUGUAUGAUUUGGUUGUUGGAUUAACCUUCUGGUAAUCCCCUCCAGGGUAUGCUGAAUUUGCCAAAUGUAGCACCUUACGAUGUUCGUGGCCAACUAGAUCCAGACAUACCAGUAGGUACCAGAGAUCGCUUCAAUAUAUUCUGUUUUCUUGAAUUUAUGAAUGUUGAGUUUACAUCCUCCUCCUCAGAGUGAUACAAUUAGACUUAGUUUACAAAUACUUGCCCAACCUCUAAAUUCAUGUCAGUCUCUUUACUCGUUUGGUGUCUAUUGCUUUUUUUGAUAAAUAAUGCUUAUUUUUCUUUUUGGUGAAACUUUGGUUAUUAAUGUAAGGUAUACUUCCUUCAA